This 445-nucleotide ribosomal RNA is filed under the name uncultured bacterium. RNAcentral describes it as "partial 16S ribosomal RNA". It matches the Rfam family "Bacterial small subunit ribosomal RNA", at positions 339 to 795 of the family's 1533-position model. The record is from RNAcentral.
CUACGGGUUGCUCCAGUGGGGAAUAUUGCGCAAUGGGCGAAAGCCUGACGCAGCGACGCCGCGUGAGGGACGAAGGUCUUCGGAUUGUAAACCUCUUUCAGCAGGGACGAAGCGAAAGUGACUGUACCUGCAGAAGAAGCACCGGCUAACUACGUGCCAGCAGCCGCGGUAAUACGUAGGGUGCAAGCGUUGUCCGGAUUUAUUGGGCGUAAAGAGCUCGUAGGCGGUUUGUCGCGUCGGAUGUGAAAACCCAAUGGCUUAACCUUGGGCCUGCAUUCGAUACGGGCAAACUAGAGUGUGGUAGGGGAGACUGGAACUCCUGGUGUAGCGGUGGAAUGCGCAGAUAUCAGGAAGAACACCGAUGGCGAAGGCAGGUCUCUGGGCCAUAACUGACGCUGAGGAGCGAAAGCGUGGGGAGCGAACAGGAUUAGAUACCCGUGUAGUC